UGGCGGCGUGCUUAACACAUGCAACUCGAACGAUGAAGCCCUUCGGGGUGGAUUAGUGGCGAACGGGUGAGUAACACGUGGGCAAUCUGCCCUUCACUCUGGGACAAGCCCUGGAAACGGGGUCUAAUACCGGAUAACACUCCUACUCGCAAGGGUGGGGGUUAAAAGCUCCGGCGGUGAAGGAUGAGCCCGGGGCCUAUCAGCUUGUUGGUGAGGUAACGGCUCACCAAGGCGACGACGGGUAGCCGGCCUGAGAGGGCGACCGGCCACACUGGGACUGAGACACGGCCCAGACUCCUACGGGAGGCAGCAGUGGGGAAUAUUGCACAUUGGGCGAAAGCCUGAUGCACCGACGCCGCGUGAGGGAUGACGGCCUUCGGGUUGUAAACCUCUUUCACCAGGGAAGAAGCGAAAGUGACCGUACCUGCAGAAGAAGCGCCGGCUAACUACGUGCCAGCAGCCGCGGUAAUACGUAGGGCGCAGGCGCUGUCCGGAAUUAUUGGGCGUAAAGAGCUCGUAGGCGGCUUGUCACGUCGGGUGUGAAAGCCCGGGGCUUAACCCGUGGUCUGCAUUCGAUACGGGCUAGCUAGAGUGUGGUAGGGGAGAUCGGAAUUCCUGGUGUAGCGGUGAAAUGCGCAGAUAUGAGGAGGAACCCCGGUGGCGAAGGC
This 668-nucleotide ribosomal RNA is filed under the name Streptomyces minoensis. RNAcentral's name for it is "bacterial SSU rRNA". It matches the Rfam family "Bacterial small subunit ribosomal RNA", at positions 37 to 722 of the family's 1533-position model. Lineage: Bacteria; Bacillati; Actinomycetota; Actinomycetes; Kitasatosporales; Streptomycetaceae. The record is from RNAcentral.